GGAUAGGUUUGAUUCUGGCUAUUAAUUAGUUUUUUCGUUUAAUUAUAUGGAUAUUAUUAAAUUUUUAAUUUUCCAGUAAUAAGUUUUUAAUUUUUAUUAAAUUAUUUUAAUUGAGAUAAUGAAUUAAAAUAGAUUAAAAUUUGUGCCAGCAUUCGCGGUUAUACAAUUUAUUUAAAUUAAUUUUUUAAGAUUUUAAUGAAUAUGAUUUAUUUUGGAAAAUUAAUUUAAUUUUUUUAGGUGGAAUUUAAAUAUUACUAAAAUUUCUUUAUUAAUAUUUAAGAUGUGAAAUUUUUAAACUAGGAUUAGAUACCCUAUUAUUUAUUAUUUAAAUUUAUGUCUGAAUAGUAUUAGUUAAGUUCUUUAAAGCUCAAAGAAUUUGGCGGUAAAAUACCUUUUUAGAGGAACCUGUAAUUUAAUUGAUAAACCACGAUAAAUUAUACUUUAAUUUUAUAUUAUUUGUAUAUCGCUAUAUAUGGAAUGUUUCUUUAGAAUAUUUUCUUUUUCUAAUACAAAGUUUAAUGUUAGGUCAAGGUGCAGUUUUAUUAAAGUUUAUAUGGGUUACUAUUGUUUUAAGUUUUUAAAAUUUACUAAUAUAAUUAGUUAAUUAUUAUAGGAUUUAAUAGUAAAUUGAAAUAAUUAUUUUAAUUGAAUUUUGCUCUUUUUUAUGUACAUAUCGCCCGUCAUUCCUAUAUUUAAUUAGGACAAGUCGUAACAAAGUAAUUUUACCGGAAGGUGAGGUUAGAAUGAAUAAU
RNAcentral lists this non-coding RNA (752 nucleotides) under Japananus hyalinus. Lineage: Eukaryota; Metazoa; Arthropoda; Insecta; Hemiptera; Cicadellidae. The record is from RNAcentral.